Molecule: long non-coding RNA, 6809 nt
Filed under: Triticum aestivum (bread wheat)
Lineage: Eukaryota; Viridiplantae; Streptophyta; Magnoliopsida; Poales; Poaceae
Description: long non-coding RNA (TAES_LNC000291)
Source: RNAcentral
UCACGUCCUACUAGCACAACAAGCCUCAUCGCCGACUGACCCGUCUUCUCAAAUUCGAAGCAACUCGACGACUAAGCAGGCAAAGGUUCCAUGGUAUUAUAUAUCUUCCUCUCUUUAAUCUGUGCAUUAUUUUAGCUUCCUUAUCAGCCAACAUAUUCUCAUAGAACCUUUGUCCUCAGGUGAUCUACAUUAGUCAAAUUGCUAGGUCAUAGUCUCAGAAAACAAACAAGAGGUAUGGUCACAUACACUCAUCCCUCUGCUUAUAUCACAUAAUCAUCAUUCAACCAUAAUUUUACAAGACAGACAUUCAUAAAUGACCCAUGAUGCACUUCCUCAAUAGCUACUUUUUCAUGAUGUCGGGAAGAUCAAACACACGAGACGGCCGACAAAUUGAAGGUAUGGCAACAACUUCAGCAACUUGCAUCCAAUAUACGCCGGCGACACCCAAACGAACAAAGGCACAAAGAAACGUCCAACGAACUGAAGACACAACAUCAGCACCAUCAGCCUCAGGUAAUAUCCCCAUGCAAUUCUUCAUGUGUGUGCCUGCAUUUUGAUCUCAGCUCAACAUUGCGUCAAAACUCUUCUCAUACUGAACUAUAAAGCUCUUUUUUUUCAUGCAUCCUAACACUACCAUGAUAAUAAUGUGAAAGCUACAAAAAGAGCAACACGGUUGAACAAUUAUUGAUUUAUAGUUCCCUACCAGAUAAACAACAUUAAUCUCCAGAUGUACUGUAUGUGACAAUGUCCAUUAGUAGUCUCUUAUAUCACCAAAUGCACUUGCAUGCUGCAAAGGCAAAACACUAUUAAGUACUCUCUCUGUAGAGACAUAUAAGAGUGUUUAGAUCACUACUUUAGUAAUCUAAACGCUCUUAUAUUUCUUUACGGAGGGAGUACAACCUAAAUCAUAUUACAUGAUACUAUGUUAAGAAGACUAUACGCACUGACGAAAUCACAUUUGCAGAUAUGAGAGUCCAACAUACGUUAGACCCAGCAGCUCACCAGACAAAAAGAAAGAAAGAACAACCUCUAAACUCAAGGAGUACAAAGCGGACAAGGACUGCAGAGGGAAGAAGAAAUGCAAACACAGAGGCUCCUAAACGAUUGAGAAAGGCUAAUGCUGAAGAAGAUAGGGAAUUGAAGCGUGCCAGAAGCGAAACCAACAAAAACAACACUAGAGACAAUGUUGGAGACAACAACAGAACCAGAACCUCGACAAGUGCUAAUAGAAAGCCAUGGAACUUCGGAAGGCCAACAUACAAAUGCCAAUAUUGCAAAGCAUUGCUAUGGUGUGAAGAAAGAUUAAAUUCAAACAAAGGAACUACGACACCCUCUUUUGGAAUAUGCUGCAAACAAGGGAAAAUCGAUCUGCCGCCACUAAGAGGACCUCCACCAUACCUUAGAAACCUCUUAAGAAGUGAAGGGCAGGAUUCGGUAAACUUCAAAGAAAAUAUAAGGUCAUACAACUCAAUGUUUUCAUUCACAUCGAUAGGAGGAGCUGUGGACAAGGAAAUAAACACUCGCAAAGGACCUUAUGUUUUUCGUUUGCAUGGACAAAACUACCACCAUAUCGGAACUCUUUUGCCUCAAGGUAUAGACAAACCUCGGUUUGCACAGCUAUACAUAUAUAAUACCGAAAAUGAGGUGGAAAACAAGAUAAGUGCAUCAAGACGCAAUGAUAAUAAAUCAACAGUGGACCCCAACAUCGUCAAAGAACUGAAAAUAAUGCUCGACGACAACAACAUCCUCGCAAAAACAUUCAGAAUGGCAAGAGAUAGAUUCCAAGAAGGAGACUACCAUGAUUACACACUUCGGAUACUAGGCAAAAGGAACGGAACACACAACCUUCCAUCCGCAUCUGAAGUUGCAGCAUUGGUAGUAAGAGAUCCAACCGGAGAGAGUGAAGGACGUGACAUUGUUGUUGAGUACAAAAAUAUGGAGCCACAAAGGAUAUCAGAGAUCCACCCGAAAUUCAUGUCCAUGCAAUAUCCGUUGUUGUUCCCAUAUGGAGAAGACGGUUUUAAACUUGAGAUACCCUACAAGAAAACAAAAGGAGGUACAAACAGCAGGAAAUACGUAAUGUUGUUGGACUACUAUGCAUUCUACCUACAACAACGUCCUGAUCAAGGAAUGUUACUGCUCAAGUCCGGGCAUUUGUCACUGCAAUUUUGGGUGGAUGUAUACACAUGUAUCGAGCAAAAUAGACUAAACUGGAUCCGACACAAUCAAGGAAAGCUACGAACUGAACUUUACAGUGGAUUGCAGGAUGCGAUUGAGCGAGGGGACACAAGAAUAGAGCAAGUUGGAAAGAGGAUAAUUGUGCCUUCAUCUUUUACAGGUGGUAGAAGAAACAAGGCACAAUAUUUGCAAGAUGCCUUUGCAAUAUGCCGUUGGGCUGGAUACCCAGACCUAUUUAUAACAUUCACAUGCAACGCAAAGUGGCCUGAGAUCCAAUACAUGCUAGAUGAAGCGGGAGGUGGCCAAAAGCCAGCCGAUCGGCCAGAUAUUGUGGACAGAGUAUUUAUGAUCAAACUAAAGGAGCUAAUGAGAGACAUAAAAGAAAAGAAAUACUUUGGAGAAACAGUUGCAAGUAAGUCCCAUUGACUAUCAAUCUUUACUCUUUCUUGCAUCAUCUUAUAGUCCGUCAGACUCUUGCUCUUUAGAAACAUGCAUCAUCUUAUACUCCGUCAGAUUCUAGCUCUUUAGUAACAUGCAUUCCAAUUUUAGCUAAAUCUGACAAACCAUUAAUCAACUGCAGUCAUCUACACAAUAGAAUUCCAGAAGAGAGGACUCCCGCAUGCCCACAUACUAAUAUUUUUUAAGGACAAAGACAAGUACCCGGAACCAUCGCAAAUCGACAAAAUAAUAAGCGCUGAGAUCCCAAACAAGGAUGAGGAUCCAGAGGCAUUUGAAGCUGUUGAGAACUUCAUGAUGCAUGGCCCGUGUGGAGAGGCUAAGAAAAAUUCACCAUGCAUGGUGGACCAUAGAUGCACCAAGCAUUUCCCAAAAAGAUACAAUGUCAGCACUACCAUUGACGAGGACGGAUUUCCAGUAUAUAAAAGGAGGGAUGACGGAAGGCAGAUCAAAAAGGGAGGGGUGAUGCUCGACAACAGAUUUGUCGUGCCAUACAACCGGGACCUUCUGGUCAAGUAUCAAGCUCACAUAAAUGUCGAGUGGUGCAAUAGGUCCAGAUCAAUCAAGUACCUAUUUAAGUAUAUCCAUAAAGAUGACGACCAUGUUACAGCCUUGCUCAAGGAAAGGGGCACGGCAAACGAAACUGACGAGAUCAAGAAAUACCUAGAGAUGAGAUACAUAUCAACAUCAGAAGCAUGCUGGAGGAUAUUUCAGUUUGAUCUUCAGUAUCGCAAUCCAGCAGUUGAGAGGCUACCUUUCCAUCUUGAAAAUGAGCAACAAGUCAUUUUUCCAGACUCCACUGAUCUUGAAAAGAUAGUAACAAGGGACGGAUCUAAAAUGACCAAGUUCACUCAGUGGAUGGAGGCAAAUAAAAUAUACGAGCUAGGAAAAAGAUUGACUUACGCAGACUUCCCUACAAAGUUUGUAUGGAAAAGCGAAACAAAAUGUUGGCAGAAGCGAAAAAGGGACUAUGCAAUUGGAAGAAUCUACUAUGCACAUCCCGCAAGUGGCGAGAGAUAUCAUAUGAGGAUGCUUCUAAACACCAAGAAAGGAUGCACAUCAUUUGAGGACAUUAGGACCGUUGAUGGAGUCAUUCACCCAACAUACAAAUCAGCAUGCCAAGCCCUCGGAUUUCUCGAUGAUGACACCGAGUGGAUUGACUGUAUCAAUGAAGCAUCAAGUUGGGCAUCCGGAACACGACUGCGUCAGUUAUUCACCACCAUAUUGUCCCAUUGCGAAGUCACAAACCCAAAGGUAUUGUGGGAUUCAACAUGGGAGGCGUUGUGUGAAGAUAUGCAAUACAAAAGAAGGACUAUUCUAAACUUUCCAACACUUCGGCUUACAAACACACAGAAGAAAGCAUAUGGUCUGAUUGAGAUAGAAAAACUGAUGAGGCAAGUAGGAAAGUCACUAAAGGACUAUCCAGACAUAGAACUACCAAAUGCCGCAGAGCUAGAAGAACUUGGGAACAGACUAAUAAACGAAGAGGUCAACUACGACAUGGACAAACUCAAGGAUGAGCACAAAAUCAUACUAAACAAUCUUAACCAAGACCAGAAAACGGCCUAUGAUGCAAUAAUGGAGUCAGUCGACAAAGGCCUAGGAAAGCAGAUAUUUGUCGAAGGGUACGGUGGCACAGGAAAAACCUAUCUAUGGAAAGCAAUAACGACAAAGCUAAGAUCAGAGGGGAAGAUAGUGCUUGCGGUAGCAUCAUGUGGCAUUGCAGCGUUGCUUCUCCAAGGUGGAAGAACGGCACACUCAAGGUUCCGUUUUCCACUUAAUAUCACUGAAGAAUCAACGUGUGAAAUAAAACAAGGCUCGCAUUUGGCUGAACUGCUAAAGAAGACCUCACUUAUAUUGUGGGACGAGGCUCCUAUGGCAAACAAACACUGCUUCGAGGCACUAGACAAAAGCCUUAGAGAUAUUCUAAGGUUCACUAAUGAAAACAGCGAUGAAAAGCCAUUUGGUGGGAUGACAGUUAUACUAGGAGGCGACUUCAGACAAAUCCUGCCAGUUAUAACCAAAGGAAGGAGAGAGCAGAUAGUAAAUGCUUCAAUCAAAAGGUCAUAUCUGUGGAAACACUUUGAAAUAUUUGAGUUAACACAAAACAUGCGGCUGAAGUGUCUGUCAGAUGAUCCAAUACAAAAGCAAAAGGUUGCUGAAUUUGCAGAGUGGAUACUACAGAUUGGCGAUGGGAAAACAACAUCAGAUGAAGGAGAGGAUUGGAUAAAAAUACCAAAAGACCUACUGCUAGAGAAAGGAGAAAAUCGUAAACAAAUCGUCAAAAGCAUAUACCCAAAUUUGCUGCAAAAAUACCGUGAGCGGGAUUACCUAGAAGAAAGAGCAAUACUAUGUCCAAGAAAUGAUACAGUCAAGGAGAUAAAUGACCACAUAAUGAGCCAAAUACAAGGUGAAGAGGUGACAUACCUAAGCCUGGACACAGUGUGCAAGGCAACGACAAAUACCAACAUCAUGAUGAACAUGCAGCCUACUGAGUUCCUCAACACCUUAACGUCCCCAGGAAUACCAGACCAUAAGUUAAAACUGAAGGUGGGUUUGCCGGUCAUGCUCCUACGCAACAUCAACCAAGCAGCAGGCUUAUGCAACGGUACAAGAAUGACAAUUACACAACUUGGAAACAAAUACAUCGAGACACAAAUAAUCACAGGAACACAUGUCGGCGAUAAGGUAUACAUACCUCGAAUCAUCAUGUCACCAAGCGACUCAAAAUGGCCAUUCGUGCUGAAAAGAAGGCAAUAUCCAUUAUCAGUGUGCUUCGCAAUGACAAUAAACAAGAGCCAAGGUCAGUCCUUAAACAAGGUAGGCAUAUAUUUGCCUAAGCAAGUGUUCUGCCAUGGACAACUAUAUGUGGCACUAUCAAGAGUGACAAACAAGGAAGGAUUGAAGGUGCUGAUUGAUGACGAAGAGUGUCCAACCGAAGAUGUCGCAAAGAAUAUUGUUUACAAAGAGAUUUUUUAAUUGAUAGUGCAGUUCCUCAAGUCAUUAGACAAUUCAUGUAUAAUUACAUAGUCACAGACAACCUUACCAUACAUUUUGAACAACACAUUUACUUGGUUGGCAUAUUGAAUUUUUAAAUAGUUAUUAAUCCAUAGAUAUAUAUGUUUGAUCUUUCUUUAAAAUAUUAAAUUUAAAAUUAGUUAUUUAUCCUUGAAUAUUUUUAACACAAAAAAUAUCGCAGCAGAUGAAACAAUGAAAUCACUAAUGGAUUCCACCUACAAUAAGCUUUUCGUAAUCUCCCACAUUAUAGCCACGACCCACAACUAAAAUAUAUUCACGGUUAAUCUCAAAAUCCAAAUCUUUUAAAAACGUUCUAUAGAAAGUUCACCGAUUAAUUCCCCUAAAUAGCCAUUACUAAUCUCUCACAAUCUAACACUCACAUCUCUCUCACGAAUAGUUUCCGAUUCCCCAAAUCUCCUCAAUUUGUGUCUCUAAAAACAUAGGCAUUAGCCUCCUCAAGCGAAUAAAUGUAUGCGUACAUAUGGAUCUUUAAUCUUUCAAUAAAAUAUAUAAAUUUUUGUUCAUCGGUUCUGUAUCCGUGAACUAACUCUAUCAUGUUUGUACACAUAAGUUCUUUCUACAUUAAUAUUUCUAUAAACUUAGAAGUAAUUUCUGAGAGCAAAAAAUACAGAUCGUACCUUUUUCAUUUGGCAAUGGAUGUCAACUCUACUGAAUAUACCAUCAUCUCUCUCAUACCACAUCCAGAAGAUCACGAUACCAACUCUAAUCCCUCUAAUGAAUAGUCCCCAAUUCUCAAUCUCUUUUCUAUCAGAUCCAAGAAAACGUUCCUGCAGCAAGGAGAUUUAAAUAUCUUCUUUACUAAAUCUUGAGCGUGGUUGUGGCAUGGAGAUUUUACCCAACAAUUACUAAUCUGGGAUGACAUUUACCUCAUGUGAGAUGCACGAAAAUUAGGGAUUUUACCUGUGAAGGGCUGAAGGCUCCCUCAAAUCCAUUCAGAAAAAGAGAUCGGGAGAGACGCUGCGGCAUACAUCUUCCAUCCGCUGAAGCUAUGGUUGGCGGCGGUACGCAGCCGAGCCAGCGACGAGCGCAUGCGCUGGUGCUGCCACUGAAAAGCAGGGGAGAAGAGCUGCGCUAGAGGCCUUCUUGGUUCGACCAUUUACAAAAUUAAGGCUGUGCUAAAAAAUGAACAAAAGGAG